RNAcentral lists this ribosomal RNA (629 nucleotides) under uncultured Actinomycetes bacterium. RNAcentral describes it as "bacterial SSU rRNA". It matches the Rfam family "Bacterial small subunit ribosomal RNA", at positions 62 to 687 of the family's 1533-position model. The record is from RNAcentral. Lineage: Bacteria; Bacillati; Actinomycetota; Actinomycetes.
UCGAACGAUGAAGCCGCAGCUUGCUGUGGUGGAUUAGUGGCGAACGGGCGAGUAACACGUGAGUAACCUGUCCUUUUCUUUGGGAUAACGGCUGGAAACGGCUGCUAAUACUGGAUAUUCAGGCUGCAUCGCAUGGUGUGGUUUGGAAAGGUUUUUUCUGGGAUUGGGUGGGCUCGCGGCCUAUCAGCUUGUUGGUGGGGUGAUGGCUUACCAAGGCUUUGACGGGUAGCCGGCCUGAGAGGGUGGUCGGUCGCACUGGGACUGAGAUACGGCCCAGACUCCUACGGGAGGCAGCAGUGGGGAAUAUUGCACAAUGGACGAAAGUUUGAUGCAGCGACGCCGCGUGGAGGGUGUAGGCCUUCGGGUUGUGAACUCCUUUUUCUCGCGAAAAAGGCACAGUUUUGGCUGUGUUGAUGGUAGUGGGGGAAGAAGCGCCGGCUAACUACGUGCCAGCAGCCGCGGUAAUACGUAGGGCGCGAGCGUUGUCCGGAUUUAUUGGGCGUAAAGAGCUCGUAGGUGGUUCGUCGCGUCUGUCGUGAAAGCCAGCAGCUUAACUGUUGGUCUGCGGUGGGUACGGGCGGGCUUGAGUGCGGGUAGGGUUACUGGAAUUCCUGGUGUAGCGGUGGAAU